Molecule: ribosomal RNA, 253 nt
Filed under: uncultured bacterium
Lineage: Bacteria
Description: partial 16S ribosomal RNA
Rfam family: Bacterial small subunit ribosomal RNA
Source: RNAcentral
UACGUAGGGCGCAAGCGUUGUCCGGAAUUAUUGGGCGUAAAGAGCUCGUAGGUGGCUUGUCGCGUCUGUCGUGAAAGCCCGGGGCUUAACUCCGGGUCUGCGGUGGAUACGGGCAGGCUAGAGGCAGGUAGGGGAGAAUGGAAUUCCCGGUGUAGCGGCGAAAUGCGCAGAUAUCGGGAGGAACACCGGUGGCGAAGGCGGUUCUCUGGGCCUGUACUGACGCUGAGGAGCGCAAGCGUGGGGAGCGAACAGG